RNAcentral lists this ribosomal RNA (472 nucleotides) under uncultured bacterium. RNAcentral's name for it is "bacterial SSU rRNA". It matches the Rfam family "Bacterial small subunit ribosomal RNA", at positions 355 to 825 of the family's 1533-position model. The record is from RNAcentral.
UGGGGAAUAUUGCGCAAUGGACGAAAGUCUGACGCAGCGACGCCGUGUGUGGGAGGAAGCUCUUCGGGGUGUAAACCACUGUCAGGAGGGAAGAACGGCGCCGGUUCGAAUAGUUCCGGCGAUUGACGGUACUUCCAAAGGAAGCGCCGGCUAACUCCGUGCCAGCAGCCGCGGUAAGACGGAGGGCGCAAGCGUUGUUCGGAAUUACUGGGCGUAAAGCGCGGGCAGGUGGUCUGUUAAGUCGUUUGUGAAAAUCCGGGGCUCAACCGAGAAACUGCCAUUGAUACUGUUAGUCUAGAGUACAGAUGAUGUGGCGGAAUAUGACAUGUAGUGGUGAAAUACUUAGAUAUGUCAUAGAACACCGAUUGCGAAGGCAGCUCACAAAACUGUAACUGACGCUGAGACACGAAAGUNCGGGGAUCAAACAGGAUUAGAUACCCUGGUAGUCCCUGAGCGGGCUGGCAAGGCGCAU